AACAGUAGCUCAGUCGGUUAGAGCAGGGGACUCAUAAUCCCUUGGUCGCAGGUUCAAGUCCUGCCUGUUCC
RNAcentral lists this transfer RNA (71 nucleotides) under human gut metagenome. It matches the Rfam family "tRNA". From Rfam's summary of the family: Transfer RNA (tRNA) molecules are approximately 80 nucleotides in length. Their secondary structure includes four short double-helical elements and three loops (D, anti-codon, and T loops). Further hydrogen bonds mediate the characteristic L-shaped molecular structure. tRNAs have two regions of fundamental functional importance: the anti-codon, which is responsible for specific mRNA codon recognition, and the 3' end, to which the tRNAs corresponding amino acid is attached (by aminoacyl-tRNA synthetases). tRNAs cope with the degeneracy of the genetic code in two manners: having more than one tRNA (with a specific anti-codon) for a particular amino acid; and 'wobble' base-pairing, i.e. permitting non-standard base-pairing at the 3rd anti-codon position. The record is from RNAcentral. RNAcentral also lists the same sequence under 2 other names.